UAUAAUGCAGUCGAACGCUUCUUUUUCCACCGGAGCUUGCUCCACCGGAAAAAGAGGAGUGGCGAACGGGUGAGUAACACGUGGGUAACCUGCCCAUCAGAAGGGGAUAACACUUGGAAACAGGUGCUAAUACCGUAUAACAAUCAAAACCGCAUGGUUUUGAUUUGAAAGGCGCUUUCGGGUGUCGCUGAUGGAUGGACCCGCGGUGCAUUAGCUAGUUGGUGAGGUAACGGCUCACCAAGGCCACGAUGCAUAGCCGACCUGAGAGGGUGAUCGGCCACAUUGGGACUGAGACACGGCCCAAACUCCUACGGGAGGCAGCAGUAGGGAAUCUUCGGCAAUGGACGAAAGUCUGACCGAGCAACGCCGCGUGAGUGAAGAAGGUUUUCGGAUCGUAAAACUCUGUUGUUAGAGAAGAACAAGGAUGAGAGUAACUGUUCAUCCCUUGACGGUAUCUAACCAGAAAGCCACGGCUAACUACGUGCCAGCAGCCGCGGUAAUACGUAGGUGGCAAGCGUUGUCCGGAUUUAUUGGGCGUAAAGCGAGCGCAGGCGGUUUCUUAAGUCUGAUGUGAAAGCCCCCGGCUCAACCGGGGAGGGUCAUUGGAAACUGGGAGACUUGAGUGCAGAAGAGGAGAGUGGAAUUCCAUGUGUAGCGGUGAAAUGCGUAGAUAUAUGGAGGAACACCAGUGGCGAAGGCGGCUCUCUGGUCUGUAACUGACGCUGAGGCUCGAAAGCGUGGGGAGCAAACAGGAUUAGAUACCCUGGUAGUCCACGCCGUAAACGAUGAGUGCUAAGUGUUGGAGGGUUUCCGCCCUUCAGUGCUGCAGCUAACGCAUUAAGCACUCCGCCUGGGGAGUACGACCGCAAGGUUGAAACUCAAAGGAAUUGACGGGGGCCCGCACAAGCGGUGGAGCAUGUGGUUUAAUUCGAAGCAACGCGAAGAACCUUACCAGGUCUUGACAUCCUUUGACCACUCUAGAGAUAGAGCUUCCCCUUCGGGGGCAAAGUGACAGGUGGUGCAUGGUUGUCGUCAGCUCGUGUCGUGAGAUGUUGGGUUAGUCCCGCAACGAGCGCAGCCCUUAUUGUUAUUUGCCAUCAUUCAGUUGGGCACUCUACCAGACUGCCGUGACAACGGAGGAAGGUGGGGAUGACGUC
Molecule: ribosomal RNA, 1157 nt
Filed under: Enterococcus faecium
Lineage: Bacteria; Bacillati; Bacillota; Bacilli; Lactobacillales; Enterococcaceae
Description: bacterial SSU rRNA
Rfam family: Bacterial small subunit ribosomal RNA
Source: RNAcentral